GGUAAAGUCAGCACAAAUAAAGUGGGCUCAUGAUAUGAGCCCACUUUAUUUGUGCUGACUUUACCAU
This 67-nucleotide microRNA precursor is filed under the name Podarcis lilfordi (Lilford's wall lizard). Lineage: Eukaryota; Metazoa; Chordata; Lepidosauria; Squamata; Lacertidae. The record is from RNAcentral.